AAACAUGUAGCAAUUAGCAAGUACUCCGUAGAAGAUACUACUCAUAUCUGAAAGCAUAUAUUGCCAUGGAGAGAAGCAAGAUGAUUAUGCUCGUGAUGAUCAUUCUUCCAUGUCUCAUAACAUUUUCUCAGGGUGAGUACACAACAACAAUUAGGUGAACUUCUCGUAAAGAUAUUUGUUAGUUCUAUAUAUUACUUUUGGCGAUCUAGUUAAGAAACAUUACUAAUUUUUGUGAAUUUGUGCAUAAUUUUACAAAUUACCUAGUUUAAUGUGGACACUUAUUUGCAUGCAGCUCAAAGAUCUGAUGAUAUGAAUAGCAGCAAGAUCCAAAUUUGCUUGUGCCAAAAGAAUCCUCCACCAUGCCCAAAUGGUUUGUGCUUCUGUUGUGCAUUGGAGCAAGAUAAAUGCUUUAGAACCAGCCAAGAAUGCAUUUGUGGUUCUGCUUGCCCUCCUUUAGAAGCAACCUCCCCUCAUCCCCUCCCUUUGCCUUAAGACACCAUGUCAGCUGAUUGUUGCCAUGAACAUCUUGGAAUAAAAAAAGUUGUAAUCGCUGCAUGCUCAUCUUUAUGUUCUUCUGAAUUGAAUUUUUUAUAGUUAUAUUAUGUUUUACAAACGAAUACUGAACUAUACAGGCAAUUACAUAUAAUGCCUUGAUUGACACAAGAAAAUAC
Molecule: long non-coding RNA, 671 nt
Filed under: Triticum aestivum (bread wheat)
Lineage: Eukaryota; Viridiplantae; Streptophyta; Magnoliopsida; Poales; Poaceae
Description: long non-coding RNA (TAES_LNC001883)
Source: RNAcentral